Molecule: ribosomal RNA, 776 nt
Filed under: uncultured Neocallimastigales
Lineage: Eukaryota; Fungi; Neocallimastigomycota; Neocallimastigomycetes; Neocallimastigales
Description: partial large subunit ribosomal RNA
Rfam family: Eukaryotic large subunit ribosomal RNA
Source: RNAcentral
AGAGAGAGACAUGCGCGCAUAUCAAUAAGCGGAGGAAAAGAAACUAACUAGGAUUCCCUCAGUAACGGCGAGUGAGGCGGGAAGAGCUCAAAUUUGAAAUCUUCAAGGUUCUACCUUGACGAAUUGUAGUUUAAAGAAGUGUUUUCUGUUGGAGUUUUGGUAAAAGUUCUUUGGAAUAGGGACAUCAGUAGAGGGUGAGAAUCCCGUAUUUGACCAUUAUUUCCAGCUUUGUGAUACACUUUCAAAGAGUCGGAUUGUUUGGGAAUGCAGUCCAAAAUGGGUGGUAAAUUUCAUCUAAAGCUAAAUAUUGGCGAGAGACCGAUAGCGAACAAGUACCGUGAGGGAAAGAUGAAAAGAACUUUGAAAAGAGAGUUAAACAGUACGUGAAAUUGUCAAAAGGGAAGCGUUUGACACCAGUGUUGUUUUCUCGAAAAUCAAUUAAAAAAGGCAGGAUUUUGUGUUGUAUUGACUUUAUCAGCUUUCUGCACUCUUUUCUUGUCUUUUUUAAUGCACUUUUCGUUUAACAAGUCAACAUCAAUUUCUUUUGUUGUAAAAGGGUCAUUGGAAGGUGGCUUUCUUUUCGGAGAAAGUGUUUAUAGCCUUUGGCCUCUGCAAUCGGAGAGAUUGAGGUCUGCAGCGUAGAUCCUUCGGGGUUAGAUACAUUUGUGCUAAGUUAUCAGCCUUUCAUAGACAACUUGUUGACUAUGAUCAGUCAUGUAGCUUACUCGCUUAUGCUAUUUUACCUACGCUUAGGAUGUUGAUGUGAUACUGCGAGC